Chroicocephalus ridibundus (black-headed gull) is the source of this 4831-nucleotide long non-coding RNA. RefSeq lists it as uncharacterized. The record is from RefSeq and is a predicted model, not a curated record. Lineage: Eukaryota; Metazoa; Chordata; Aves; Charadriiformes; Laridae. The transcript is spliced from 10 exons.
GAGAGAGAGAGAGAGACCCAAAAAAUGAAUGCGUUUAAACGGGAAGCCUAGCAGAGCAAUGUUUCCGAAAGGGGGAUCUGCGCGAAUGUCUGUAUAUAGUGAACUUUGACACUACUAUUGAAACUGACACGUUUCUAUGGAGAUCGCUGCCUUAUAUGGAGCUCGUGUCAAGGAGCCAAGAGAAGGGCUGCUGGCAACUGAUAAUCAAAGGCGACUGACUGGUCAGAGCCCUGAAUUGGGGGGAGAGAAAAUGGGAGGCUAAGCUCUGAAAUCUGAGGCUGGGAGCCGGCUGGAGAGGAGAAUCCUUCAUCAUUUCUGAGAUCAGAAUAAACGCUUGAUUUUGUCCCGAAAUAAUGAAGAGAUUUUCAAUGAGUCCCUGGGCCAAGCCGUCUCUAUUGUAUAUUGCAUUGAUAAAAAGGAUGUUAUUGACUAUGCAACAGUGGGCUCCUUUCCUCUCUCUCCCUCUUUCCAAAUAAACUCUCGGUCCUGCCUCUUGGUCAGUGAAAAGGUGAAACGAAUAAGAUUAAAUCGGACAAAAAAAGCAAGCUCGGUAUGUAUAUCAUCCAGAUUUUACUCCCCAGACUGUGAAGAGACAGAGAGUAAAAGAGGCAGAGCGAGGCACGGAGAGAGAGGGAGAGAGAGAGAGAGAGAGAGACAGAGACACAGACACAGAGAGAGGCGGAAAGCCUGGGAGAAGGUGGACGGACCCAGCAGCCGCCGCCCGGCUCCUCCGCCCGGGCUGCGCCGGCCCCGGCUCCCCGGGACACCCCGGGACACCCCAGGCAAGAAAAGCAACGAGAUGGGGUCAGGCAACCUGGAUGCGUCGUCGGACGCAGGUCCCUGGGAAGAAAGGGGCUGCUGGAGUUCCACCUUGUGUAAAAAAGUCACUGGAAACAACGAGGGGCAACCGAAGAUGUUUAGCGUAUAAACAUUGAACUUAGGAUCAACAGCUUCUUCACUGAACAACAAACCUCUGUUCUACUUUUCAAGCAGAGCAGCAGAGACCCCGAUUCACAGAUUUUUUGCACAGAUGCCAAGACCAGCAUGCCUUAGGAGUGACAAAGAGGAGCUGUUGCCCACCUGCCCAGCUUGCAGCAUCAAUAGCAGGCACAAAGGGAAACGGCUGUGGUCAAGAGGAGGAUUCAGGAUUCACCGGGCCAGCGAGCGAAGAUGAAAGGGAGCACGGCUCCAGGGCUCAGGGCAUCCUUUCUGUUCCAGUCUCUGCUCCCAGGAUUGUUUCUGUCUUUUAUUUAAAGACUGUUUCAUGUCAGAGCACACAGUCUGGGGAGUGGGAUGACACAGUGGCAUCGUUUCACUGCUUUCUGCUGACCCACACAACAUGGACCGUGCCUUGCAAAAAGGCAAGCUGUCCUUCUAGCCCCUGAAUGUGACCCUAGGAGCGGGAAGACCACCUGGUCCUCCGGUUUGGGCUGAAUAUGUUGUUUUGCUGCUGUGAAAGCAUAGAAAGGUCUCACCUUGCUGCCAGUGCCACCGUCUCACAUUCUGAAAUUCAGAGAAACAAUCCCACCAUCUUUAUGGGUUAAGCAUCGACUGGGCUCCCGAGUCUCCUCAGCAUCGGAGCAUUUAUUGUAGGACGCCGCAUCCAGCCAUGAAGAGCUCCUUGCAGCAGAACAAGACGAUAAGGACAGACCUGCAGAUUUCCAGGUGAUUGUCUCCGGUGACCACGUUUGCGACCCUACGGAGUUCAAGAGCAAAAUGAGCAGAGAGUAGGCAGCUGCUUUCUUCCCAGGCACGAGUGCGUCGAUCUCCUCCCCUCAGCAUGAAGGUGAAUUAAAAUUGUACGAGCAAAUGGUGAGGAUGGAUAAUCACCUCUGCUGUCUUACUCUGGAUGUGUCCAUACAGCUGACUGGGAAGGAGAAGUCUGCUUGCCUGUCAAAAAGAUGUGGAAAUGUGCUGGCAUUCCAGCUGAAGACAUCAUUAUGAGUGAGAAAAUGCUCAAGGCUUUUUUCAAAGUGGGUGCUGAAACACACAUUUCUCUUCUUUGACUCCAGGGGAUGCUAACAGCUGCCCCAGCAGACAGGUAUUGCAAGGUCAAAGGCUAGCAGAGCUGUGCACCUUCAGGAUUUGACUGCCAGCAAAGUAGAUGGGUAGUUUCUCAAAACUAAUAAUAAAAAUAGCAACAAUGAUGAGAAGAAGACGGAGCUGACAACAAAAACGAAAAGGAACCCGCAAGAAGUGAAUUCUGGGUAGCGCAACACUUGGCAGAGCUGAUUUUAAUAUCUGACAGGUUGAGUUCACUAAUCUUUGCUAUUCAUAUUGACGUGAAACUUCAUACAGUUUUAGAGAUUUGUAUCUAUUAAGACAUGCAGCAGUGUUCCUACAACAUGGGAACAAGUUUGCUAGCGCCUGCCGGUCUUCUUCCUCCGUGAUAAAAAUUGAUAUGAACUGUUUUAAACGCCUAACAGAUAAUUACUCUCAACACUCAAUAAAGAAAGCUACAUCUUUAGAGCCUCCUUUAUCUUUAAAAAAUAAUAAAAAAACCCAAGCCCGAAACACACCAACAAGACAAAACAACAUUCUUCUCCCCAUUUCCCCCCCUCUCUUUUGUUUCUUUGAUUACUUGGAGCCUUGUAAUCAAACUAAGCUUAGUUUCGGGACCCUUGGGGCAGUAUCUCUUAGUUCCCUGUCAGCCUGCGUUGCAAAACAAUCAAUCUUGCUCUUGCGCUGGCUUGGUGGAAGUGCCACGACACCAGGAGUGCGAUGCUUUGCUCUUGCUGUGAAGCUUCGAUGACAAAAGUUUUUAUCAGAAGCUGACUGUAUUUAGGGUUAUGAAUAUGCAAUGACUCUCAUUAGUAUUGAAGCACCGGAGCACGGGCUGACAUCCCCCGCCACUUUUAGCUGCUGCAGAGUCGUCUAAUGAAUUGUCUUGCUCUUUCACUCGCACGGGCUUUGCUGUUACGGCUCCCCGUUCCAAGGGGAGUUGCCCAGUUUGAGAAUACUAUUGACGGCAGAAAUUAAUUGCCAAGGCCCGCUUUUGAUUUCGUUAAACAGUGUUGAGACAGUGCUUAAAUUGUCAAAAACAGAAAACCAUUAAACUCCACAGGAGACAGCAUCAUCGCGAGCGAGAGGACCCGCGUGUCCGUAUGCGGGGCCGUGCAGAAGCACACAGGUGUGGCACAGGUACGCCUACGGUCUUGUCAUCACACCCACGCAUGCAAACAUAAACAUCUGCAUCAGCGAUGGGUCUCAGAAACCUGACAUCCUGCUGAUUUAUCUGUUGUUUUUCCAACUAGAACAAGCGGGGAUAACGGAAAGUUCUCCAAAUAAGCAGGACUCCAACAUAUUGCUGUUUGAUCAACCCUUUAAUACUCUUUCUUUUCCCUUUGGGACCCUGCCAAACAUUUUUCAGCUCACACAUCUGCAGUCUUUGCGAAUAAGUUACUGAUAAGGAUGUUUCCAACAAAUGAUUAAGAUAUCUGGCUUGAUUUGUCGUAUUUGAGGAGAUGUGUAAGCUUGCAGAAACAAGUGGAAAUGACCCUUUUUUUCCCAAUUGGCUAAAUUAAGUAUUUUUUCCCCUAUUCAUCUGAAAUUUCUUCUGACAUAAAAGGAGCUUUUGUGGCUCUCUGCAGAUUGCGAAGGAUAGAGUAAAUUGAAACGGGUAAUAUAUUCCAAGAAGCGUAAGUAGCAUUCUGAAAGGUGUGUGCGUACUGCAAAUAAUAAAGGAUAUGAGGUUCUCCCAAGAAGAUGUCAGCCCCGCGCAGCUCUUUAUCCAUUUAAUCAGUAAUGGAAACGGUCCCCGUGCAAGGAAGGAGGAUCUGUUUAAUUUUUACUGCGAUUUUUGGCACCGCGGCUCUAACACGAGCUUGGUUUACCUCUUGACCCAACCCCAGGAGUGCCUGUUCUCAUCAGCUGGAGAAAAAAUAAACAUAAAGAACAUCUACAUGUUGGGAGUAUCAAAUACAAGAGCAGUUUAAAAUAAAUGCAGUUCUGACAAAAGUGGCUCAAGUAUCAUACAUCAAACACUUGUUACCUCUCUUGGCCUCAGUGAUUGCACGUGACUAAGAAAGAGUGAGUGAUAAAAUCUGAAGAAAGAUGAAACCAAUCUGGGCCUUUUUAAAGAUCAUCAAUCAUUCUGCGCAGCCAUGAUAUUAUUAGUUCCAGUAAGCCUUGUUCUUCCAUUUUAUGGACAUCAUAAACCCCCCACCCCUAGACCAAUGCUACCAUGGGAAAUCAUUUUUAUGGGCAGCAUCUUAGCGUGGGCCAAUCGGAUCUAAUCACAUAACAAGCUACUGAAUUAUUCAACGUUCUCCCUAAUUUUGCAUUCUUCCUGCACUUUGCUGUCACUGCAGGGUCUUAAAAGUAUGUGUUUUUACAAUAUUUAUUAAGAAGAUAACCAUACACAGGAAUUUUGCUUUCUCUAUGUCUUUCAAUGAUCGUUUGUUCCCUUAGAUUGUUGCAGUAUAUACAUUACUAUAUAGAGAAUAUUUUUUUCUAAAAGGAAUAGCAGUCUGCAAUGUGGCACUCGGAUUUAAACUCUUUCAGCUUUUGAAAUACCGAACGUAAGGACAACAAUAGUGAAACAAUUGUGUUCAAACAUAAAAUAUUCAGAUUUACUGAGCAAACUGUAACCAGCAUGUCUCUUAGCUGUUGCUAUGAAUACAGGGCUCACAUUGUAUAUGAAAAUAUUUCAGUUUUAAUUGCAAAUCUGUGCAGAGAUGAUUUGGGGUCCGUAAUUAGCACAUAAAUUCCAGACUUUGUGACUGCUGUGAAAACACACAUUAUUUAUGGAACGAUUAUCUAAAUAUAAUUCAGUGUUUUUUGCUUUCAACAACUACUGUAAAAGUCUGAUUUAAUAAAAUGUGAAAAAUUU